Molecule: ribosomal RNA, 754 nt
Filed under: uncultured bacterium
Lineage: Bacteria
Description: bacterial SSU rRNA
Rfam family: Bacterial small subunit ribosomal RNA
Source: RNAcentral
AGAGUUUGAUCAUGGCUCAGAAUCAACGCUGGCGGCGUGCUAACACAUGCAAGUCGCACGAGAAAGGGGAGCAAUCCCUGAGUAAAGUGGCGCACGGGUGAGUAACACGUGAAUUAUCUACCUCCGAGUGGGGAAUAACCUAGAGAAAUCUGGGCUAAUACCGCAUAACACUUACGAGUCAAAGCAGCAAUGCGCUUGGAGAGGAGUUCGCGGCCGAUUAGCUAGUUGGCGGGGUAAUGGCCCACCAAGGCGAUGAUCGGUAUCCGGCCUGAGAGGGCGCACGGACACACUGGAACUGAAACACGGUCCAGACUCCUACGGGAGGCAGCAGUGGGGAAUUUUGCGCAAUGGGGGAAACCCUGACGCAGCAACGCCGCGUGGAGGAUGAAAUAUCUUGGUAUGUAAACUCCUUUCGAUGGGGAAGAUUAUGACGGUACCCAUAGAAGAAGCCCCGGCUAACUUCGUGCCAGCAGCCGCGGUAAUACGAGGGGGGCAAGCGUUGUUCGGAUUUAUUGGGCGUAAAGGGUGCGUAGGCGGUUUGGCAAGUCUUAUGUGAAAUCUUCGGGCUCAACCCGAAGUCUGCAUAAGAAACUGCCGGGCUUGAGUAUGGGAGAGGUGAGUGGAAUUUCCGGUGUAGCGGUGAAAUGCGUAGAUAUCGGAAGGAACACCUGUGGCGAAAGCGGCUCACUGGACCAUAACUGACGCUGAUGCACGAAAGCUAGGGGAGCAAACAGAUUAGAUACCCUAGUAGUCC